ACAGGCUUAACACAUGCAAGUCGAGGGGCAUCAGUUUGGUUUGCUUGCAAACCAAAGCUGGCGACCGGCGCACGGGUGAGUAACACGUAUCCAACCUGCCUCAUACUCGGGGAUAGCCUUUCGAAAGAAAGAUUAAUAUCCGAUAGCAUAUAUUUCCCGCAUGGGUUUUAUAUUAAAGAAAUUCGGUAUGAGAUGGGGAUGCGUUCCAUUAGUUUGUUGGGGGGGUAACGGCCCACCAAGACUACGAUGGAUAGGGGUUCUGAGAGGAAGGUCCCCCACAUUGGAACUGAGACACGGUCCAAACUCCUACGGGAGGCAGCAGUGAGGAAUAUUGGUCAAUGGACGCGAGUCUGAACCAGCCA
Molecule: ribosomal RNA, 362 nt
Filed under: uncultured bacterium
Lineage: Bacteria
Description: bacterial SSU rRNA
Rfam family: Bacterial small subunit ribosomal RNA
Source: RNAcentral